This 403-nucleotide ribosomal RNA is filed under the name uncultured fungus. RNAcentral's name for it is "partial small subunit ribosomal RNA". It matches the Rfam family "Eukaryotic small subunit ribosomal RNA", at positions 30 to 432 of the family's 1831-position model. The record is from RNAcentral. Lineage: Eukaryota; Fungi.
GCUUGUCUCAAAGAUUAAGCCAUGCAUGUCUAAGUACAAGCCUCAGUAAGGUGAAACCGCGAAUGGCUCAUUAAAUCACACCUAAUCUACUGGAAAGUUACUAGUUACUUGGAUAACUGAGGUAAUUCUAGAGCUAAUACAUGCAUCAACUCCCAACUGCUUCGCGGAAGGGAUGUAUUUAUUAGAUUGAAACCAAUGCACUUCGGUGGUAUUGUGGUGAAUCAUGAUAACUUUGCGGAUCGUAUGGCUUCACGCCGACGAUGAAUCAUUCAAGUUUCUGCCCUAUCAGCUUUGGAUGGUAGGGUAUUGGCCUACCAUGGCUUUGACGGGUAACGGAGAAUUGGGGUUCGGUUCCGGAGAGGGAGCCUGAGAGAUGGCUACCACAUCCAAGGAAGGCAGCAGG